UUAGGUCAUAUUUUCUGCUUUGCUGUGAGCAAAGCAUGCAUUUAUUUAUUUAUCACUUAUUUCUUAUUUAUUUCUUUUAGUCUCUUGCAGUGUCAUUCCUCACCUUCAUCCUUAUCCUGGAUCAAGGGAAUUUUUCUAAAUGAGCUGGACAAACAGAGGGAAUGGAGAGCUGGAUGACCUUUGGUCAGUUCACAGAUGCCCUGUGUUCCCCAUACAGCCUCACUUCACCCUGGAGACCAGGGGAACCCAGCAGAACCCUCAAACAGAGUGACAGAAGCUACGAGCGUUAAGCCAGUUACAAAAAACACAGGAAGAAGUCCACUGUACCCACAAGGCCACAGUGGCGAGUAAUUACACUGCAGACCUGGAAUGAAAUAAAGAGUGGGAGUGAACAAAAGGAGAGGCGAGAGUGUGAAAGAAAGGAAUUUUGUUUGUUAUGGUCUUAAAAAGACCACUGGUGC
This is a long non-coding RNA of Cyprinus carpio carpio, 461 nucleotides long. The record is from Ensembl. NCBI's taxonomy places the organism in Eukaryota, Metazoa, Chordata, Actinopteri, Cypriniformes, Cyprinidae.